This 497-nucleotide ribosomal RNA is filed under the name uncultured bacterium. Its description in RNAcentral is "partial 16S ribosomal RNA". It matches the Rfam family "Bacterial small subunit ribosomal RNA", at positions 28 to 507 of the family's 1533-position model. The record is from RNAcentral.
GAUGAACGCUGGCGGCGUGCCUAAUACAUGCAAGUCGAGCGAACAGACGAGGAGCUUGCUCCUUUGACGUUAGCGGCGGACGGGUGAGUAACACGUGGGUAACCUACCUAUAAGACUGGGAUAACUUCGGGAAACCGGAGCUAAUACCGGAUAAUAUUUCGAACCGCAUGGUUCGAUAGUGAAAGAUGGCCCUGCUAUCACUUAUAGAUGGACCUGCGCCGUAUUAGCUAGUUGGUAAGGUAACGGCUUACCAAGGCAACGAUACGUAGCCGACCUGAGAGGGUGAUCGGCCACACUGGAACUGAGACACGGUCCAGACUCCUACGGGAGGCAGCAGUAGGGAAUCUUCCGCAAUGGGCGAAAGCCUGACGGAGCAACGCCGCGUGAGUGAUGAAGGUCUUCGGAUCGUAAAACUCUGUUAUUAGGGAAGAACAAACGUGUAAGUAACUGUGCACGUCCUGACGGUACCUAAUCAGAAAGCCACGGCUAACUACGUG